Molecule: non-coding RNA, 70 nt
Organism: Caerostris darwini
Lineage: Eukaryota; Metazoa; Arthropoda; Arachnida; Araneae; Araneidae
Source: the annotation of a GenBank genome assembly
CCGGUUCUCGUUAGAUCACCGAAGUGAAGCAUCAUUGGGCGCGGUCAGUACUUGGGUGGGUGACCACCUG